This 298-nucleotide unclassified non-coding RNA is filed under the name uncultured bacterium. RNAcentral describes it as "contains 16S-23S intergenic spacer region". The record is from RNAcentral.
AUCACCAACCUGCUCAUCUCGAUCCCUCCAUCAGUAGUCCUCGAAUUCCUGCUCCGGGUCCCCGCCCGGCCGACGACGGAACGGCCCAUCGGUCCUCAUAUGACGCACCCAGCCGUCGAGUGGGUCGCCCUCACCGUCAUACUCGUACAUCGCUCGCACCGCGAGCGUAGGGUCGUCGUAUCAGUAGCCGUCAUCCCAGAAGUUCUCGUCCGGACCGAUCGUGAGGCGAGCCCGACCGAACAGGAGCGGUACGACCAUGACGAUCCUGCCAUUUGGCAAUUCCUUCUGGGCCAAAACG